This 491-nucleotide ribosomal RNA is filed under the name uncultured bacterium. RNAcentral's name for it is "partial 16S ribosomal RNA". It matches the Rfam family "Bacterial small subunit ribosomal RNA", at positions 28 to 506 of the family's 1533-position model. The record is from RNAcentral.
GAUGAACGCUAGCUACAGGCUUAACACAUGCAAGUCGAGGGGAAACGACAUCGAAAGCUUGCUUUUGAUGGGCGUCGACCGGCGCACGGGUGAGUAACGCGUAUCCAACCUGCCCAUCACUUGGGAAUAACCUUGCGAAAGUAAGACUAAUACCCAAUGAUAUCCCACGAAGGCAUCGGAAUGGGAUUAAAGAUUUAUCGGUGAUGGAUGGGGAUGCGUCUGAUUAGCUUGUUGGCGGGGUAACGGCCCACCAAGGCAACGAUCAGUAGGGGUUCUGAGAGGAAGGCCCCCCACAUUGGAACUGAGACACGGUCCAAACCCCUACGGGGGGAAGCAGUGGGGAAUAUUGGCCAAGGGGGGAGGGCCUGAACCAGCCAAGUAGCGUGCAGGAAGACGGCCCUAUGGGUUGUAAACUGUUUUUAUAAGGGAAUAAAGGGGGUAACGUGUGACUUUUUGCAUGUACCUUAAGAAUAAGGACCGGCUAAUUCCGU